GAUGAACGCUGGCGGCGUGCCUAAUACAUGCAAGUCGAGCGAACAGACGAGGAGCUUGCUCCUCUGACGUUAGCGGCGGACGGGUGAGUAACACGUGGAUAACCUACCUAUAAGACUGGGAUAACUUCGGGAAACCGGAGCUAAUACCGGAUAAUAUAUUGAACCGCAUGGUUCAAUAGUGAAAGACGGUUUUGCUGUCACUUAUAGAUGGAUCCGCGCCGCAUUAGCUAGUUGGUAAGGUAACGGCUUACCAAGGCGACGAUGCGUAGCCGACCUGAGAGGGUGAUCGGCCACACGGGAACUGAGACACGGUCCAGACUCCUACGGGAGGCAGCAGUAGGGAAUCUUCCGCAAUGGGCGAAAGCCUGACGGAGCAACGCCGCGUGAGUGAUGAAGGUCUUCGGAUCGUAAAACUCUGUUAUUAGGGAAGAACAAAUGUGUAAGUAACUAUGCACGUCUUGACGGUACCUAAUCAGAAAGCCACGGCUAACUACGUG
This 497-nucleotide ribosomal RNA is filed under the name uncultured bacterium. Its description in RNAcentral is "partial 16S ribosomal RNA". It matches the Rfam family "Bacterial small subunit ribosomal RNA", at positions 28 to 507 of the family's 1533-position model. The record is from RNAcentral.